CCUUCGAUAGCUCAGCUGGAAGAGCAUGAGACUGUAAAGGAAACCUGUGCAAUCUCAGGGUCACUGGUUCGAGCCCAGUUUGGAGGA
RNAcentral lists this transfer RNA (87 nucleotides) under Russula ochroleuca. It matches the Rfam family "tRNA". Rfam says of the family: Transfer RNA (tRNA) molecules are approximately 80 nucleotides in length. Their secondary structure includes four short double-helical elements and three loops (D, anti-codon, and T loops). Lineage: Eukaryota; Fungi; Basidiomycota; Agaricomycetes; Russulales; Russulaceae. The record is from Rfam by way of RNAcentral.